GAUGAACGCUGGCGGCGUGCCUAAUACAUGCAAGUCGAGCGAACAGACGAGUAGCUUGCUCCUCUGACGUUAGCGGCGGACGGGUGAGUAACACGUGGAUAACCUACCUAUAGGACUGGGAUAACUUCGGAAAACCGGAGCUAAUACCGGAUAAUAUAUUGAACCGCAUGGUUCAAUAGUGAAAUACGGUUUUGCUGUCACUUAUAGAUGGAUCCGCGCCUGAUUAGCUAGUUGGUAUGGUAACGGCUUACCAAGGCAACGAUGCGUAGCCGAUCUGAGAGGGUGAUCGGCCACACUGGAACUGAGACACGGCCCAGACUCCUACGGGAGGCAGCAGUAGGGAAUUUUGCGCAAUGGGCGAAAGCCUGACGGAGCAAUGCCGCGUGAGUGAUGAAGGUCUUCGGAUUGUAAAACUCUGUUAUCAGGGAAGAAAAACUGUGUAAGUAAAUAUGCACGUCUUGACGGUACCUAAUCAGAAAGCAACGGCUAACUACGUG
Molecule: ribosomal RNA, 497 nt
Filed under: uncultured bacterium
Lineage: Bacteria
Description: partial 16S ribosomal RNA
Rfam family: Bacterial small subunit ribosomal RNA
Source: RNAcentral